Molecule: ribosomal RNA, 162 nt
Filed under: uncultured bacterium
Lineage: Bacteria
Description: partial 16S ribosomal RNA
Rfam family: Bacterial small subunit ribosomal RNA
Source: RNAcentral
UGGGGAAUUUUGGACAAUGGGGGCAACCCUGAUCCAGCCAUGCCGCGUGAGUGAAGAAGGCCUUCGGGUUGUAAAGCUCUUUCGGCCGGGAAGAAAUCGCGCCAGCUAAUAUCUGGUGUGGAUGACGGUACCGGAAGAAGAAGCACCGGCUAACUACGUGCC